AACGAACGCUGGCGGCAUGCCUAACACAUGCAAGUCGAACGAGACCUUCGGGUCUAGUGGCGCACGGGUGCGUAACGCGUGGGAACCUGCCCUUAGGUUCGGAAUAACUCCCCGAAAGGGGUGCUAAUACCGGAUAAUGUCUUCGGACCAAAGAUUUAUCGCCUUUGGAUGGGCCCGCGUUGGAUUAGCUAGUUGGUAGGGUAAAAGCCUACCAAGGCGACGAUCCAUAGCUGGUCUGAGAGGAUGAUCAGCCACACUGGGACUGAGACAGGGCCCAGACUCCUACGGGAAGCAGCAGUGGGGAAUAUUGGACAAGGGGCGAAAGCCUGAUCCAGCAAUGGCGCGUGAGUGAUGAAGGCCUUAGGGUUGUAAAGCGCUUUUAGCCGGGAUGAGAAUGACAGUACCGGGAGAAUAAGCUCAGGCUAACUCCGUG
This 433-nucleotide ribosomal RNA is filed under the name uncultured bacterium. Its description in RNAcentral is "partial 16S ribosomal RNA". It matches the Rfam family "Bacterial small subunit ribosomal RNA", at positions 29 to 507 of the family's 1533-position model. The record is from RNAcentral.